This 496-nucleotide ribosomal RNA is filed under the name uncultured bacterium. RNAcentral describes it as "partial 16S ribosomal RNA". It matches the Rfam family "Bacterial small subunit ribosomal RNA", at positions 28 to 506 of the family's 1533-position model. The record is from RNAcentral.
GAUGAACGCUGGCGGCGUGCCUAAUACAUGCAAGUCGAGCGAACAGACGAGGAGCUUGCUCCUCUGACGUUAGCGGCGGACGGGUGAGUAACACGUGGAUAACCUACCUAUAAGACUGGGAUAACUUCGGGAAACCGGAGCUAAUACCGGAUAAUAUAUUGAACCGCAUGGUUCAAUAGUGAAAGACGGUUUUGCUGUCACUUAUAGAUGGAUCCGCGCCGCAUUAGCUAGUUGGUAAGGUAACGGCUUACCAAGGCAACGAUGCGUAGCCGACCUGAGAGGGUGAUCCGCCCCACUGGAACUGAGACACCGUCCCGACCCCUACGGGAGGCAGGAGAAGGGAAUUUCCCGCAAUGGGCGAAACCCUGCCGGAGACACGCCGCGGGGGUUAAGAAGGUCUUCGGCUCGUAAAACUUUUUUUUUAGGGAAAAACAAAUGUGAAAGUAACUAUGCCCGCUUUGCCGGUACCUAAUAAGAAAGCCCCCCCUACCUACGU